AAUUUUUAACAACGGAUCUCUUGGCUCUCGCAUCGAUGAAGAACGCAGCGAAAUGCGAUAAGUAAUGUGAAUUGCAGAAUUCAGUGAAUCAUCGAAUCUUUGAACGCACCUUGCGCCCUUUGGCUAUUCUGAAGGGCAUGCCUGUUUGAGUAUCAUGAACACCUCAACUCCUCAUGGUUUUGCCAUGAUGAGCUUGGACUUUGGGGGUCUUGCUGGCCUAUGGUCAGCUCCUCUCAAAUGGAUCAGCUUGCCAGUGUUUGGUGGCAUCACAGGUGUGAUAAAUAUCUACGCUUGUGGUUUUCCGCCAUAUAACCUUUAGCAAUGAAGGUUCGCUGCAGCUCACAAACGUCUCUCCUCCGUGAGGACAGCUUUUCAAAUGUUUGAUCUCAAAUCAGGUAGGAUUACCCGCUGAACUUAAGCAUAUCAAUAAGCGGAGGCU
Molecule: unclassified non-coding RNA, 439 nt
Filed under: uncultured Thelephoraceae
Lineage: Eukaryota; Fungi; Basidiomycota; Agaricomycetes; Thelephorales; Thelephoraceae
Description: sequence contains ITS2
Rfam family: 5.8S ribosomal RNA (bases 1-155)
Source: RNAcentral